This is a non-coding RNA of Pelobates cultripes (western spadefoot toad), 312 nucleotides long. The record is from the annotation of a GenBank genome assembly. NCBI's taxonomy places the organism in Eukaryota, Metazoa, Chordata, Amphibia, Anura, Pelobatidae.
UGAUUAAGUAAACAUUUAAUCUGACAAAAAGGAUUCACACAGUGCUGAGUACAAAAUACAGAAAUAAAUGACAUACAGAUAACAAAUUGCAAAACAGUACAUAAAUAAAAUAGGAGAAAAUUCCUUACAUAUAUUUACCCCAUAUAGAAUUCUUGUGGGAGUCUUACAUGGUAUAGGUCUCCUAGAAGUUGCUGACAAAAGAAAAAUGAAUAACUGACCUCCCUGGAUAGUCCAACACCCUCAUAUGGUUGAGAGUGUAUGUCUGUCAGUGUAUGUCUGUCAGUCAAUGUAUGUCAAUAAACAGAAGGAUGG